GUAUUUCUUCAGCAGCACAGGCAAUAAAGACGGAAUGACACAGAAAAGAUUAGUAUGGCUCCUGUACCAGGAUGACACACAAAUUCCCCUGUUUUA
Molecule: small nuclear RNA, 96 nt
Organism: Fukomys damarensis (Damara mole-rat)
Lineage: Eukaryota; Metazoa; Chordata; Mammalia; Rodentia; Bathyergidae
Source: Ensembl